RNAcentral lists this ribosomal RNA (453 nucleotides) under uncultured Petrimonas sp. RNAcentral describes it as "partial 16S ribosomal RNA". It matches the Rfam family "Bacterial small subunit ribosomal RNA", at positions 341 to 792 of the family's 1533-position model. Lineage: Bacteria; Pseudomonadati; Bacteroidota; Bacteroidia; Bacteroidales; Dysgonomonadaceae. The record is from RNAcentral.
ACGGGAGGCAGCAGUGAGGAAUAUUGGUCAAUGGGCGGAAGCCUGAACUAGCCAAGUCGCGUGAAGGAUGAAGGUAUUAUGUAUUGUAAACUUCUUUAGCUGUGGAGCAAUAAUCUCCAUGUAUGGAGAGAUGAGAGUACACAGAGAAUAAGGAUCGGCUAACUCCGUGCCAGCAGCCGCGGUAAUACGGAGGAUCCGAGCGUUAUCCGGAUUUAUUGGGUUUAAAGGGUGCGCAGGCGGCUUUCUAAGUCAGUGGUCAAAUCGUGGUGCUCACCGCCAUCCCGCCAUUGAUACUGGAGAGCUUGAUUGCGGUCGAGGUUUGCGGAAUUCGUCGUGUAGCGGUGAAAUGCAUAGAUAUGACGAAGAACACCGAUUGCGUAGGCAGCAGACCAGGCCGUAAAUGACGCUCAUGCACGAAAGUGCGGGGAUCGAACAGGAUUAGAUACCCUGGUA